GGAUGAACGCUGGCGGCGUGCCUAAUACAUGCAAGUCGAGCGAACGGACGAGAAGCUUGCUUCUCUGAUGUUAGCGGCGGACGGGUGAGUAACACGUGGAUAACCUACCUAUAAGACUGGGAUAACUUCGGGAAACCGGAGCUAAUACCGGAUUAUAUUUUGAACCGCAUGGUUCAAAAGUGAAAGACGGUCUUGCUGUCACUUAUAGAUGGAUCCGCGCUGCAUUAGCUAGUUGGUAAGGUAACGGCUUACCAAGGCAACGAUGCAUAGCCGACCUGAGAGGGUGAUCGGCCACACUGGAACUGAGACACGGUCCAGACUCCUACGGGAGGCAGCAGUAGGGAAUCUUCCGCAAUGGGCGAAAGCCUGACGGAGCAACGCCGCGUGAGUGAUGAAGGUCUUCGGAUCGUAAAACUCUGUUAUUAGGGAAGAACAUAUGUGUAAGUAACUGUGCACAUCUUGACGGUACCUAAUCAGAAAGCCACGGCUAACUACGUG
This 498-nucleotide ribosomal RNA is filed under the name uncultured bacterium. Its description in RNAcentral is "partial 16S ribosomal RNA". It matches the Rfam family "Bacterial small subunit ribosomal RNA", at positions 27 to 507 of the family's 1533-position model. The record is from RNAcentral.